This 253-nucleotide ribosomal RNA is filed under the name uncultured bacterium. RNAcentral's name for it is "partial 16S ribosomal RNA". It matches the Rfam family "Bacterial small subunit ribosomal RNA", at positions 524 to 776 of the family's 1533-position model. The record is from RNAcentral.
UACGGAGGGGGCUAGCGUUGUUCGGAAUUACUGGGCGUAAAGCGCACGUAGGCGGCUUUGCAAGUUAGAGGUGAAAGCCCGGGGCUCAACUCCGGAAUUGCCUUUAAAACUGCAUCGCUAGAAUUGUGGAGAGGUAAGUGGAAUUCCGAGUGUAGAGGUGAAAUUCGUAGAUAUCGGGAGGAACACCAGUGGCGAAGGCGGCGACCUGGGCCAAUACUGACGCUGAGGUGCGAAAGCGUGGGGAGCAAACAGG